UUGAAAGUUGAGGGGUGGUGAGUGGGUGAGAGGUGGCGGGUGGUGAGGUGAAGUAGUGGAGGGCUCGCGUUAAGGAUGGCGCAUAGGAGGUGGCAGAUGAGGAAGAGGAGCGGUUGAGAAGGAGGACACGGUAAAGAGACAUCAGUAUCGGUAUUGGUGUGGCAAUGGCGGAAUGGAUGGAUGAAAGAUUGAGAGAGGAGGGUUUUGGUUUGGGGUGUCGUAGGGCAGAGAGAGAGAGAGGAAGACUGUUGCGAAGGAGAAUUCACUUAAACCCUAGAGAAUUCGCUUACCUUUAAUUGGUAUCGAACUAUGCCUAACCUAAACUACGCUUCAGAAACAGUUACCCCAUGAGUUAUUUUGUCACCAAAAAUAACUUCUUUAAGAACACUUACAAAGUCCACUUUGUAGCUUCCUAUCAACUUUGGAGUGACAAGACCACUAAUUACACCUAGGCUAAUCACCACCAAAGCCUAGCUCUCUGCUAGACUUCACACUCCAUUUUACACAAUCAUUGAAUCCUUACUUUCCUCUCCAGGAAGUAAGGGAAACACAAGCUUGAAAUAAUAUAUAGGCAACUUUUCUUUUGUUUCUCAAAGUGUGGUGGCUAUUCGGAGAUACCGUAUUCAACUCCUAUACAGCUCAAAACGUUUCAGUUCUCCUUCUCAUAAACUAGUCCUUGUAGUUGCCUAAACUACAGUCAGUGGUUACUUCUCUGUUCAAACGGAUGUUGAUUCUUUUCUUACCGUUAGUUGAUUUCCUCCAGGUGACAAUUUGUCAGCCAAAACACAUAUCUCAGCAGACUUGACAAAAAAAUAAACAUGUACAAGAAAGCCAUAACAAUAGGAUGAUGGGAAGAGACCUUAUUUACAGCUGCAACAAUGUUUGAAUAAUCUACCAACACCAAAAACACUAUGCACAAUCAGGCAGAUGCCAUUCUCAACACUCCAGAUGACCAAUUCCCAUUCAUUCUGCACACUCUCUCUCUCUCUGGUCCCAACCAUAAUCUCCGCCUCCACUGUCAAAUCAGAGCCUCAACUAUGUGCUGAAAAGAAACCUCUUCUUCUGUCUUCUGGAAAGUGUACAUGAAAAAUUAAAGAAACUUCGGAUGUCAUGAUUUGAUAGUAUGAUUCGCUAAGGCAGUAUGAUUCGCCAAUGACUGAUACAGGUCGAUCCAACACUUGUCGUGCUCUACUGCAUUUUCCCAUCUCUUGUUGAAUAUCCUCAUUUCUAUUAGAGAUUGCAUCCUCACCUGCGCGCAUUCUAUUAGUCUCUGUACCUAUGGCUAUUGUAGACCCUGAAAACCCCAAUUUAACUGUUUAUUCACAUCUUACUUCAGGUCUGUUAUCAACUUACUCAAGGGACUUGGAUUGUGCCUGCAAUGCCGAAACACGGAUGGAGACUCUCAACACGUGUUUAAUGGAGAAUCUCUUCUAGUUAUAAUUUUAUUAGGUAGAAGAGCUACUUGUACUUGCCUGAGUUUUGUUGAAGACACCAAGUGUGGGCAAGCCAAGGUGUACUAUGUACUCAGAAUCGACCACACCGACAUUUUUCGCCCUGUCACCCCGAACAACAGACUAAAAAAUUCGAUCAAGCCUUUAGUCAAAUGUCUAUACGUAACAGGGGAAGGACUAAAGGGUGCAUUUGCAAUUAUAUGCUUGUAAACCUCAAGCCCUGUAUCAACUCUCCCUUCAUCACAGUGCGCGUUGAUCACAUUAUUAUAAGAGACGACAUUAGGCACUAUAUCAUUUUGCUCGAAGAAGUACUUAAACAAAGCAAUGGCGUCACUGUACCUGCACUACAAAUGAAGUAGCAGGAAUUAGAUACCAAACCGAAUCAUCAUCACAAGCAAAGAAUUAACAGUAAAGCAGAAAACUUUACCGUUUAGCUCGAUACAUAGCAGCUAUAAUCGCAUUACAUGUGAAGACAGUGGGCCUAGUUCUGGAGAAAACAGCGGUGCGAGCGAGGUAAGAAGCAGCAUCAAGAUCAAAGGCUCUAAUAAGCGACUGGACAUUGUUAUGCAAGCUAAGUCGAGGGCCAACAAGAGCUGAAGUGGAAUCGGGAAGACGGGGAGCAUUGGGAUCCCGAGGAGGAGGGUAAGGGUUACGCUGAAGAGCGUGCAGCGGAGGUUCGAUGCGGAGGCGCCGUUUCCGCCGGCGGCGUUCAGCGGCAGCUUCUUCAGCGGAGGAGAAGGCAAAACUUCGUCGCGAUGAAGGGAUUGAAAGUUGAGGAGCGGGAAUUAGGGAAGCGGUGAUGGGUGGUGAGGUGAAGUAGUGGAGGGCUCGCGUUAAGGAUGGCGCAUAGGAGGUGGCAGAUGAGGAAGAGGAGCGGUUGAGAAGGAGGACACGGUAAAGAGACAUCAGUAUCGGUAUUGGUGUGGCAAUGGCGGAAUGGAUGGAUGAAAAAGAGAAGGGUUUUGGGCUUGGGGGUGUCUCAGAGCAGAGAGAGGAGAGGAAGACUGUUGCGAGGGAGAAUUCGCUUAAAC
Molecule: long non-coding RNA, 2482 nt
Filed under: Linum usitatissimum (flax)
Lineage: Eukaryota; Viridiplantae; Streptophyta; Magnoliopsida; Malpighiales; Linaceae
Description: long non-coding RNA (LUSI_LNC003398)
Source: RNAcentral